This 162-nucleotide ribosomal RNA is filed under the name uncultured bacterium. Its description in RNAcentral is "partial 16S ribosomal RNA". It matches the Rfam family "Bacterial small subunit ribosomal RNA", at positions 1339 to 1500 of the family's 1533-position model. The record is from RNAcentral.
UAAUGGCAGGUCAGCAUACUGCCGUGAAUACGUUCCCGGGCCUUGUACACACCGCCCGUCACACCAUGAGAGUUGGAGAUACCCGAAGCCUGUGAGCUAACAGAAAUGGAGCAGCAGUCGAAGGUAGAAUCAAUGAUUGGGGUGAAGUCGUAACAAGGUACC